AUCUACGGCCAUACCAUCCUGAAAGUGCAUGAUCCCGUCAGAUCUCAAAUGCAAUCAAGGGUAGGGCUUGUUCAGUACCAGUGUGGGUGACUGACUGGGAAUAGCAAGUGCUGUAGUCA
This is a ribosomal RNA of Leptobrachium leishanense (Leishan spiny toad), 119 nucleotides long. NCBI's taxonomy places the organism in Eukaryota, Metazoa, Chordata, Amphibia, Anura, Megophryidae. The record is from Ensembl.